Corvus hawaiiensis (hawaiian crow) is the source of this 1749-nucleotide long non-coding RNA. RefSeq lists it as uncharacterized. Lineage: Eukaryota; Metazoa; Chordata; Aves; Passeriformes; Corvidae. The transcript is spliced from 3 exons. The record is from RefSeq and is a predicted model, not a curated record.
GGGACGGCCGUCCCAGGCAGCGCCCAGGGACCAGCCCGCGGCCAUCGGGGGGGUGGGGUCGCCUCCGGUGCCCCAGCCGGGGCAGGAUGGCGCGGGGUCGCCGCUUCCGCGGCCUGCGGGGCCACCGGAAUGGUAGAGAGAUCGUGAGGCCUCCCCGUUCCACCGCCCCUCUCAGCCUCGGGCCGCUGCUGCUUCUCACUGCCUGGAUGUGUCUCUCCUGGGGCUGGAUGGCCUCUGCCCCCCGCCUCGUGCCUGCGUUUCCCGGUCCGUGGCGUUACUCCUACCCCUGCCAUCCUCAGCCUGCCCUGCGGCACAGCCCCGCUAGUGGAGUGAGUUAGGGGGCAAUCCCAGGCUUUCUCACAGCCCGGGUUUUACAUUCUGCAUCACAGAAUAGUUGAAGCUGGAAGGGACCUGUGGGGAUCACCCAGUCCAACUCCCCUGCCAAGACAGGGUGACCCAGAGCAGGUGACAGAAACGCGUCCGGGUGGGUUUGGAAUGUGCCCGGAGCGGGAGACUCCACGCCUCCCUGGGCAGCUGCUCCCGUGCUCCCAGCUGCCAGGAUGAGAUGCUGCUGCCCGAGGCGGUGUCUCCCUGCAUCCCCUGGAAAGGAUGAGCUGAGCCCAGCCCCAGACAGGUCUGGAGGGUUUGGGGGUGUGGACAAAGGGAUAUUGGUCCUCGACAGAGGACAACCAUCCCUGCCUGGUGCCAGCUGCGAGUGGAGCUGUCCCGGGCCUGGCUCUCAGAGGUGCAGGAGGGAGCUUCCUCCUCGUCCCGUGGAUGCUGAAUCUUUGCAAUUGCAUUGCUUCGGGCGAUUUCUCUGGGAAAAAUGUGUGGGAAAUGGGGAGGUGGGUGAUGGAAAGCCGCUGGGCUGGAAAAUUAAGGAGGGGGCAACACCCUGGGUUGGCAGUAGGGCAGGGGGAGCAGGUAGAGAGGUGAUGGGGAGGAGGGAGCACCUGGAGGGAGUGGUGGGGCAGCUGGAGCUAUGGCAUGGGGCAGAUGGUGCCAUCCUGAAGAGGAGCUCCUCCAGAAUGUGCAGGAAGAGUUUGUGGAGCAUGUGAGCAACCCUCUGAUCUCUGGGAUGCUGGACAGCCUGCUGACCCACUGGAUUCUAAGACUCAGUGAGGUGGAAGAGGUGCAGGAUCAAUGCAGGAUGCACGUGGAUAAGCCUUGACUCCUCAUAAACAUUGUGCUCCAGAAGGGCACCAAGGCCAGCCAGAUCUUCACUGACAGCCUCAGGAUGGUGGAGCAGCUGGGUCUGAGCUGACUCAGGGUCGUCUGCUGUGCCACUGGCCCUUCCUGACGCUGAGGUACACCCGUUGCCCUCGUUGGUAUCGAGGGCCAGCAGCGCAUCCGGCAGUGCUCCCUGAGUCCGACAGUGCUUCCCUAUGUUCCCUCAGCAGAUGCCAUCACAAGAAUGGACUACAAUGUUCUGGAAGCUCUGCCUCUUCUCAGGCCACUGAUGCCGUGCCAUGGUGACACUCUUGACCUUGCAUCUCGUGGCAGCCUUUUGUCUGUGCCCCAAACCUGGUACCUGGCCAGCAGGAAGGAGUGGGGAGAAAUCCCCCGCUGAUCCUGGGCUCCAGAGCUCGUGGCUCGGUCCAAAGGUCUUGUGUGCUGAUAGCUGGGGCCAGACCGCACCCCCAGCUGGCUGGUGGCACCCAAGGAACUCAUUUCAGUAGCCAGUGACUCUGGAGCUUAUUGGUCUGAUGUUCUUCACAUGAAACAAAUAAUACACAGAGAGCAAAAGUG